RNAcentral lists this ribosomal RNA (253 nucleotides) under uncultured bacterium. RNAcentral's name for it is "partial 16S ribosomal RNA". It matches the Rfam family "Bacterial small subunit ribosomal RNA", at positions 524 to 776 of the family's 1533-position model. The record is from RNAcentral.
UACGUAGGUGGCAAGCGUUGUCCGGAAUUAUUGGGCGUAAAGCGCGCGCAGGCGGUCCUUUAAGUCUGAUGUGAAAGCCCACGGCUCAACCGUGGAAGGUCAUUGGAAACUGGGGAACUUGAGUGCAGAAGAGGAAAGUGGAAUUCCAAGUGUAGCGGUGAAAUGCGUAGAGAUUUGGAGGAACACCAGUGGCGAAGGCGACUUUCUGGUCUGUAACUGACACUGAGGCGCGAAAGCGUGGGGAGCGAACAGG